GACGUAGGGUGCGAGCGUUGUCCGGAUUUAUUGGGCGUAAAGAGCUCGUAGGCGGCUUGUCGCGUCGACCGUGAAAACUUGGGGCUCAACCCCAAGCCUGCGGUCGAUACGGGCAGGCUAGAGUUCGGUAGGGGAGACUGGAAUUCCUGGUGUAGCGGUGAAAUGCGCAGAUAUCAGGAGGAACACCGGUGGCGAAGGCGGGUCUCUGGGCCGUAACUGACGCUGAGGAGCGAAAGCAUGGGGAGCGAACAGG
This 253-nucleotide ribosomal RNA is filed under the name uncultured bacterium. RNAcentral's name for it is "partial 16S ribosomal RNA". It matches the Rfam family "Bacterial small subunit ribosomal RNA", at positions 524 to 776 of the family's 1533-position model. The record is from RNAcentral.